UGAUGGAGCACGCCGCGUGAGUGAUGAAGGUUUUCGGAUCGUAAAACUCUGUUGUAAGGGAAGAACACGUACGAGAGGUAAUGCUCGUACCUUGACGGUACCUUACGAGAAAGCCACGGCUAACUACGUGCCAGCAGCCGCGGUAAU
RNAcentral lists this ribosomal RNA (147 nucleotides) under uncultured bacterium. Its description in RNAcentral is "partial 16S ribosomal RNA". It matches the Rfam family "Bacterial small subunit ribosomal RNA", at positions 384 to 524 of the family's 1533-position model. The record is from RNAcentral.